AACAAGGUUUCCGUAGGUGAACCUGCGGAAGGAUCAUUAU
RNAcentral lists this ribosomal RNA (40 nucleotides) under Tylopilus griseipurpureus. Its description in RNAcentral is "partial 18S ribosomal RNA". Lineage: Eukaryota; Fungi; Basidiomycota; Agaricomycetes; Boletales; Boletaceae. The record is from RNAcentral.